AACUGCGAAUGGCUCAUUAAAUCAGUUAUCGUUUAUUUGAUAGUACCUUACUACAUGGAUACCUGUGGUAAUUCUAGAGCUAAUACAUGCUAAAAACCCCGACUCCGGAAGGGGUGUAUUUAUUAGAUAAAAAACCAAUGCCCUUCGGGGCUCCUUGGUGAAUCAUAAUAACUUAGCGAAUCGCAUGGCCUUGCGCCGGCGAUGGUUCAUUCAAAUUUCUGCCCUAUCAACUUUCGAUGGUAGGAUAGUGGCCUACCAUGGUGGCAACGGGUAACGGGGAAUUAGGGUUCGAUUCCGGAGAGGGAGCCUGAGAAACGGCUACCACAUCCAAGGAAGGCAGCAGGCGCGCAAAUUACCCAAUCCCGACACGGGGAGGUAGUGACAAUAAAUACUGAUACGGGGCUCUUUUGGGUCUCGUAAUUGGAAUGAGUACAAUCUAAAUCCCUUAACGAGGAACAAUUGGAGGGCAAGUCUGGUGCCAGCAGCCGCGGUAAUUCCAGCUCCAAUAGCGUAUAUUAAAGUUGUUGCAGUUAAAAAGCUCGUAGUUGAACCUUGGGUCUGGCUGGCCGGUCCGCCUCACCGCGAGUACUGGUCCGGCUGGACCUUUCCUUCUGGGGAACCUCAUGGCCUUCACUGGCUGUGGGGGGAACCAGGACUUUUACUGUGAAAAAAUUAGAGUGUUCAAAGCAGGCCUUUGCUCGAAUACAUUAGCAUGGAAUAAUAGAAUAGGACGUGCGGUUCUAUUUUGUUGGUUUCUAGGACCGCCGUAAUGAUUAAUAGGGAUAGUCGGGGGCGUCAGUAUUCAGCUGUCAGAGGUGAAAUUCUUGGAUUUGCUGAAGACUAACUACUGCGAAAGCAUUCGCCAAGGAUGUUUUCAUUAAUCAGGGAACGAAAGUUAGGGGAUCGAAGACGAUCAGAUACCGUCGUAGUCUUAACCAUAAACUAUGCCGACUAGGGAUCGGGCGGUGUUUCUAUAAUGACCCGCUCGGCACCUUACGAGAAAUCAAAGUUU
This 1012-nucleotide ribosomal RNA is filed under the name Aspergillus halophilicus. RNAcentral's name for it is "SSU rRNA". It matches the Rfam family "Eukaryotic small subunit ribosomal RNA", at positions 85 to 1106 of the family's 1831-position model. The record is from RNAcentral. Lineage: Eukaryota; Fungi; Ascomycota; Eurotiomycetes; Eurotiales; Aspergillaceae.